This 3387-nucleotide long non-coding RNA is filed under the name Cricetulus griseus (Chinese hamster). Its description in RNAcentral is "lncRNA (ENSCGRG00015030476.1)". The record is from RNAcentral. Lineage: Eukaryota; Metazoa; Chordata; Mammalia; Rodentia; Cricetidae.
GUUCUCGCCUCGGGGUUACCUGGGGAGCUCCGCUGCUCCCUCUACCUGUGACAGGUCCCCUCCUUUCCCCUGGCCCGGCUCGGUUGACGCCCAGCCAUUUAAAGCAACAGUGCAUAAUUCUCGGGUGACCUAAUCUUCAGUGCCCCAGCGCACUUAACUACCAAGGGGGCAAUUUAAAGGGGCGGGACCCCAACCACCACCUCCCUUGCCUUACAGGAAACAUCCAGAAGCCUCAUCUUAAAGAAGAAAUAGUAACUCUCUUAAAAAAAAAAAAAAGAAAGAAAGAAAAAAAAAAAACCUUUUAAAAUCCCUGGUGUCCUCUGGGCGUGGCGAAUUUUUAAGUGCUUCACAACAAGAUUGUGCGCACCCUUGCUUCUGAACACUGACCCGUCAGACUUCCUGUCCAGCAUCCUGUCACUUCCAAGUCCUCCCUGGCUCUACCUGGAGGUUGAGGAAAUGACGGCGUCUGGCUUGGACUUCAAAGCCUUGUAGAAAAGAAACACAGGUUCUUCACAAGCUAGGAUCUAGUUUACAGAACAAAGCCCCUGUUCUGGGUGUUUGUGGGAGAGUCUAGGAGAGGCAACAAGUGAGCGCGUUAGAAACAUCUAUCUUGGAGUCAUACUGUCUUGGCUCAAAUCCUUCCACUAUUUAUGAAGAGCAGAGCACAUUUCUUAACUCUCCUGCCUCUUGGGUAAAAUGAAGGUGGUGAGCACAGUACUUGUGAAUUUGGAGUGAGUUUAGUUCCCAGUAGAUGAGUACAGGGCCUCAUGUUGCACUGUAAUGACUCAUGGGCUGCUCAAACUGAAAAAAAAAAAAGAGCCCCUUUAGUGGGGGUGAGUCCAGACAAGGCUCAAGGGGGAUAAGUUCAAUAGGACUGUACUGCAAAGAGCUUGGAGACUUAAAUGGACCUCCUUAAACAGGAAGCUAGCAGCCUCCUAUUCCCUUGGCCUCCCUUUUCAAUCCUACUCGGGCCCCUCCUUCCAGAGCCCGAUUUAUACAGUAUCACACAUGGUCCCCAAAUGUUGCUCUUUAGUUUCCCUAGUAGUAUGGGGGGUGGGGCUGCCAGUACUCCUGAGCAGGCUGGUUUGCCCCCAAUACUUCAGGGAAAGCAUCUGUCCUUCCCCAAGCACUUGGAGAAUACAGCCUUGUUCGGGCUUGGAAGCUCUGGUGGGAGCAGUAUGGGAAAGUGCCCUGCCUGUGGGGAACCUCCCUCACUGUGGCCUCUAUUUUUAGUGCUUCCCCAGGCUCUAGCUGGAGAAACCGUUUAGUCAUCAGGGUGUUUAUUUUCCGGCUGUUUCCGACGUCGGGAAAAGCAGAAUGUUGAGACUGGAGAGAUUCUGGGCUGCUGUAAAAGACUUCUUAGGAACAGGCCUGGGAACACUGCCUUCAGACCACUGGGUCCCAGCUCAUAGGAAAACAAAACAGGAUGGGCCCGGGACAGCUAAGCCCUCAGGAGUUUUCAACCUGCCUCAACCUUGGAGGCUAUCCAAGCUAGAGAACCCUCUGGCCCAGCUCUAUCUGAGGAUUGUUUCUCAAAACACAACCAAGCCCAGAAGAAAUUCUUUCCCAGAAUCCCCUCCCCAACCUCUCCUAGAUCUGCCUGGUGAGCCUCCCGCCAACCACAGCCCUAGCCAAUCUCAAACCUGAGGCGGGCCUUCCAGAGCUUUGAUUGGUUGGCUGGGCCUUCUAGACCUGGAAUGUUGAGUCCUUAACAAAGGAAUGAGGAAGGAAGGUGAGUCACCUGGGGAAGGUAUUAAAGGACUAGCUAGAAGGAAAAGGAAGGGGGAAGAGCUCCGGGGAGGUGGGGGCCCUGGACGCUAACGUGCUGACGAGACAGCUCACACGAGACCGGACAAGUGGGACAAAAAUCCAGAGUCUGAAAACAUGUUGGAGCAGAAGCGAAGAGGUGACAACGUGAGGUCCUGAUUUCCACAGAGGACCGAAAAGGGCCAAGUUUUUGGAUGAUGCCAGCAAAGACCCUCCAAUCUCUCCCCGCAUCUGCCACUACGCUUGCGAACCGGACCCUCAGCAGGUGGGCGUGUGUAUUCUCAGCGCGAAGGUGGGACGCUGCUUCCACCUUCGCGCCUGUCUCCUCCGGACGCACUGGCUUGCUGGUUUGGGUUCUAAAGGUACUUUUCCUCACCAGCAUCUGAGUUCCUGCGGGGAUGCAGAGCUGGCGUGGAACGCGCUCAGCAAAUGUAUAUGCGCAGCUGUGUGAGUUGGGAUUGUGCAAACUCUAUUGAACACCUUAUUUCGGCAUCGAUAAUCGUGUUAGCCAAGGACAGGGGUCGAGUCUGGGGCCCUACGACUCCGCUUCAGGGCAGAGUUGGGGUGAGGGAUGGAUAGCGGAGUCCGCCGGACGCAAGGCCGGUGUGGCACAGUGGUGCCCUACGCUGAGAGCCAGGGUGCCUCGGACCAGACGCGGGGACGAGAGCAGAGGCCCCUGGAGCUGAGAGGCAGAGGUGCUAGAGUGGGUCCCGAGUCCGUGUACCCCCCACAGGAGCUCCCUGCCCCCGGCUGGGCAGGAUGUGGUGGCAGCUGCAGUUGGGUGGGCAGGAUGUGGGGGUGGGGGCAGACGAGCGCAGCCCGACAGUAGUCUCCCCCAGCUCUUGCCUCCACCCCCUCCGGGUCACGUGCUCUCAGCUUGGGCAUCGACGGACUAUUUCCCAUUUUCCGCGGAAGGACAUCUGAAACCCGUUGUCAUGAACUCAAGUUGUACCACGCCAUUUUCUUGCCCCCAUCUCCAGCCUAGGACAAAAAGUUUGCCCAGCACAAAUUUCUUUAAAGCGAGGAUUAACUCGGAAGAGGCCCCUUUAAAUGCAAAUGACUCGCCUUCUUGCUCCGCUCCUCCCAACCCCCAUCCCAACUUCUCUCCUCGUGCCCAAACUCCAGCAGCUGCUAUUGACGUCAAUCGUGCGUCAGCAUAGCCAGCCCAACCAGACAGCACGUGGGGGGAAGAAGGCGAUCUUAAAGCGACAGUCGCUCAGGGCCUGUUAGGUUGCCGGAGAAAGGAAAAGUCAAGUGGAAUGUUGGAAACAGUUGGAGCAGGAAGAAAUGCAGGGGAGACUUUCAGAAGGACCGCAUAAGGCCAGCGAAGUGGCUCAGGGGAUUAAAGGUGCUGUGCAAGCCCGAGAAUCAGCUCCCCAAAAUUAUCCUUUGACCUUCACAUACAUCAUUUUCUUCCUUCCCCAAACGUACAGUACUAAUAAAUCUGUUUUAAAAAGACUUCUCAGAAUAGGUCUCAGCUACUGCCCCUGCACCAUGCCUUCCUGCUGCCACAUUCUCUGCCAUGAUAAUAAUAGUCUCGCCAUCCGGAACUGUAAGCAAGCCCCCAAUUAAAUGCUUUCUUCUAUAAGUUGCCUUGGUCAUGGUGUUUCAUCACAGCAA